UACGUAGGUGACCAGCGUUGUCCGGAUUUACUGGGCGUAAAGAGCGCGCAGGCGGUCGUUCAAGUCGAGUGUGAAAGCCCCCGGCUCAACUGGGGAGGGUCACUCGAUACUGAUCGACUUGAAGGCAGGAGAGGGAAGCGGAAUUCCCGGUGUAGUGGUGAAAUGCGUAGAUAUCGGGAGGAACACCAGUGGCGAAGGCGGCUUCCUGGCAUGUUCUUGACGCUGAGGCGCGAAAGCUAGGGGAGCAAACGGG
Molecule: ribosomal RNA, 253 nt
Filed under: uncultured bacterium
Lineage: Bacteria
Description: partial 16S ribosomal RNA
Rfam family: Bacterial small subunit ribosomal RNA
Source: RNAcentral